RNAcentral lists this long non-coding RNA (520 nucleotides) under Brassica napus (rape). RNAcentral's name for it is "long non-coding RNA (BNAP_LNC013901)". Lineage: Eukaryota; Viridiplantae; Streptophyta; Magnoliopsida; Brassicales; Brassicaceae. The record is from RNAcentral.
AAUAGUUUUAUAAUUGUUUAUAAAUUUAGAAACUUAUAGCUUUAUACACAUCUUAUGUAGUUUUAUAUAAACUUCUUCAUCCUUCAAUUUUGAUAGCACAAUAAAAAAAGUUACCUCAACUAUAUUAAACAUUUAAAAAAGUUAUCAAUUUAUAAAUAUUUAUAAAUUAGCUUACUUCAUUCUUUUUUUUAAACACAACUUACUUUAUUCAUUUUUGAAGUUUCACUUACUUUACCACUUUCAUCAACUUAUGUAUCAUUUCUACUUGUUGUUCUUCUUCUUCUUCUCUCUGCCCGGUUUACAAAAACACAACAUAUUUAUAAAUAUUUAUAAAUUUAGAAACUGAGAGUUUUAUACACAUCCUAUGUCGUUAAAUUUUGCCUUCAUUCAGACAAAAUCCAAAACACAUUCAUAUUCAUACAUUUAUCAAGCACUAGAUUCUACAAGAAACUCCACAACAAGAUUUAUAGGAUAAUCACAAUGCAAUCAUUAGAAAAGAUUAUAUUUCACUUACUUCUUU